RNAcentral lists this transfer RNA (84 nucleotides) under Variovorax paradoxus. RNAcentral describes it as "tRNA-Tyr". The record is from RNAcentral. Lineage: Bacteria; Pseudomonadati; Pseudomonadota; Betaproteobacteria; Burkholderiales; Comamonadaceae.
GGAUCGUGAGCAGCACUGGCGACUGCAGCGGGCUGUAACCCCGCCUCUUCGGAAUACUUCGUUCGACUCGAAGACGAUCCACCA